Molecule: non-coding RNA, 1112 nt
Organism: Kogia breviceps (pygmy sperm whale)
Lineage: Eukaryota; Metazoa; Chordata; Mammalia; Artiodactyla; Physeteridae
Source: RefSeq, a predicted model, not a curated record
CCAUCACCUCUCCCCCCAGCCCUGACCCCCAGGAUAAGUACUCAAAGAGCAGAAGGAAAGGACAUGGAGGAGGCAGAGACACGAGAGCCCUGGUAACCCCUAAAUGUGCCAUUUCUUUAACUUUCUGAAGUCUGGCUGCGCUGAAGUUCAGGGCCGUGUUAAAACAUCAACAUCUCCUUUCCCAUCCUAGCCCACCCCCACCUCCAGCUCCACAUAGUCAGGCAGGAUCACAGAAUGUCACCAGGAGUCACCCAGCCUCUUGUAGCCACCUCCUGGAAUCCCAGAAAAUCACUUACAUCUGCAUCUCAGGGUCAGGCCUGGGGAGAAUCAGCCUCCCCCAGGAGCUCUCAGAUCUCAGACUGCUUUUUGGUUGUUGACCUUGGAUAGGCAGGUUUCAGGAUCCCUCCCAGGGGUUCCAACUCCAGACUAAGAUCACUGACACUUUAGGGGCCCCAAUUAUGUUAAUUCCAAGGAGGGAGCAUUUUGCCAUCUUGUGGUUGGCAGAUAUAUUUACAAACUUACUGUCUCAGGCCAGCCCCAUCUCCCCAGGCGUGAUAUCCAGGCAUAAAAUGCCUAACGACCAAGUCUUACUUGUGAUGUCCAAGUGAUAUAACUAUGUCAGCAUGAAAUCUGAGCUCUUGUUCACAGCUGGGAGUUUCAGUGUGGCCUGGAGUCAGGUUCUCUGCAGCAACAGGAGUGUAGCCUGUGCUAAUCUGCACGGGGGCUUCCAGGUCCUCGGUGUUGCCACCUCAUGGCCCAUCCUGAGCCAUCACCUGCUGGAGGGAUUGAGAGGCUUUAAUGAGGGAAAUCGGCUCCAAAAAUACUUGCGAAGAUUGUAGAAUCCUCUUUGGAGUUGGAAAGAGCCACAAAACACAGGGUGCUUUAGGCCUUCUGACCAUUGACAGAGAGCCUGUUUUUCUUCCCAGGGAGAGUGCAUGAAAAGGGAGCUUCUGGAACUGAGAACCAAACUGUCCAAACAGGAGAGUCUCCUUCGGAGCACAGCUGAGCAUCUGAAGGCCGCCAACCAGCAGAAGGAGAGCAUGGAACAGUUUAUCUUCAGCCAGUUGAGCAGGACACACGAUGUUUUGAAGAAGGCAAGGACGAAUUUGGAG